GUGGUGUGUGUUGUGGUGUUGUGUAGUGUUGUGUUUCGUUCUCUUCUGUUUGUUUAUGUCCUUUUUUUCCAUGAUAUCUAAGACGGGAUCGCAGAGCACCACGUCUUAACAUCCAUCCCAGAUCAAUUUAAUAAAUUGGGGUCUCCCAGCGCUGUGUCAAGUGGACUCUUUCUCCCCACCCCUCCACUCCAGUAGUGCUUUUGCCACCUUUUGAGCACCAGCUCAAAGACCAGCAUCAUGACAAGGCAUGAAUACAGGAACAGGUAAACAGCUGAGCCGUAAAAGUUUCUCUCCAAGAAUGUUUUCAACAAAAUGCCAUUGAAUACUGUCUGGUGAUACACGCUGCUACUACGAUGGAACAAAACGAUGUGAGCAAUCUUUCUUUAAAGCUGCUACCCACCAGUCAAAGCUGCAGCUGCCAAAGAAGCCUUCUCCUCCACUUACUUGCUCCCUUCCCUCCUCCUCCCUGCAGGUUCUUUUACGGCACUUAACUUUACAAAACACAGUUGUGAGGCUGAUCUUACAUGCAAUUACAGAUCAGCACCAGUAUAUUUAUUGCAAACUCCUUGAACAUCAGGACAUCAAAAAAAAAAAAAAAGAUUUAAAAAAAAUAAAAGAAAGGGAAAAGAAAGAAACAAUAUUCCAUUGCAUAAUUACGAAUAGGUUUUUGUAGCCAAUGAACCAGAAAUGUAUUCAGAA
Long non-coding RNA from Cygnus olor (mute swan), 699 nucleotides. RefSeq lists it as uncharacterized. The record is from RefSeq and is a predicted model, not a curated record. The transcript has 3 exons. Lineage: Eukaryota; Metazoa; Chordata; Aves; Anseriformes; Anatidae.